This 4364-nucleotide long non-coding RNA is filed under the name Orussus abietinus. RNAcentral describes it as "uncharacterized LOC105701160". Lineage: Eukaryota; Metazoa; Arthropoda; Insecta; Hymenoptera; Orussidae. The record is from RNAcentral.
CGGCGAUUCCUAGAUUGGCACCCACCGCCACGACGAAUGUCACGGCCAGGACGACCACCUAUGAGGAAAAAGAUGCGGAUUAUGGAGUUAUUAAUUUCUGGUACCAAGACACGCUCGCCGAGGAAAAUUCCACUACUAGAGGAAGGCUAGGAAACAUAAAUCAACCGUUUCUACGGAAGAUGCCGAGAAAGCUGUUGACGCAGGGCUCCUUUUUAUGAGCUGCCCAGCCGAAUGUUAGGACAAAGAAACAUCCUGCGCAUCCGAGGAUUUUACGAGCCGCGAGUUUGCGCUUUCUCGCGGCUCCUAUUUUUAAUCCCGAGAAAGAAAAAGUUGACUCGUCGGGGAAACUAAGUUUUCCGCGGCGAGGUGUCUCUCGGGUUGCUUGCAAGCUUCUCGACGGGCGCUCGUCGACCCCUAAAUUAAGGUUUUCUCGGGGGAAAUUCGGAAAAUACGGAGGUUUCCUCGUGCUCGUCGAUUAUCCGCAGACCCUCUGAUCGGUUCUUCCCCGUAUCGAAUUUGCCUCGCCUACCGAACUAACUCCAUUAACAUAGCGCCAAUUAGUGCGAUGAGUAAUUCGAAACUUGCGCCGCUAGUGGUACAAGUUGCGGGCUCGGUCGGGUUAUUAAUAUCCGGCACACCCCUGUAGAAAUUGUCAAGAGAUUAUGAAAUGACCGCGGACACCCUUAAAUACGGCUUGCCCGUGUAAGGGAUUCCUUGGACUUCCGGACGAGCUUGCAAAAUGAACUUUAACCACGUGGACCUCUUAGUUUAAGUCUUCGGUCCCGUAGAAAAUUGUGGAAUACGAGGAAAAGCGUUUCGGCCAAGGGCUAUCCCUCCUGCCGCACAUCUGUCGGGUUUCCUCGAGCAUUUCCUGACAGCUUUCAGACACGCGGGCCAAGUGUCUAUUUCAGGGUUGGUUAAGGAAAACCCCGAAGGACCUCAUGCCGCCGUUAAGAGAGGAGAUCACGCACCCUCGAGCCUCCGUUCUUUCACCUUUCCUUUCUUGCUGGCACCCGGUCAAAGCCAAAAGACGUCGCUGAUGAACCCAGGAAUUAUUUAUCACCCGAGACGAGACGCUCGAGACGGCGUCCAUCGUCGGCGUCGAUGGCCGAGAAAGCGAGGAGAGAUAAAUAAAAAGGAAGGGAUUAAAAAAACACGAGAUGGAGACGGCCACCUGGAAGGAAACAUUUAUUUUCCACGUGGUCGGACCAGACAAUAUUUCAACGUGGGGGCGUCGUUAAGAUUCCCCAAGAUUUAUGAGUCGUUAUCAUUUAGACUAGAAUUUUUAAGACCAGCGGCGAGCAGGCGGGCUCCAAAAUGGCGAUUUUACCGCGGGACGCGAAUCGAAUCGACGUUCGAUCUUGCUUCCCCUGAUAAUUCGGCCGAAAAGACCGGUCUAUUUAUAAAUAAUGUCGCGUGGCCUCUCGCCCAAGAAUAACGGGGAGGAUUGCUCGCAGUGACAUUAGCCACCUGGAGAUUAGAUAGAUUGCUGCUUUAUGGACGAGCACGGAUGUAGCUCUGACGAGCAUCGAUCGCUGUAACGGACUGGCAUCGGAGACGAUAAUUAUAGUUGCAGAAAUCAAUGAUCGUUAAGACAAGGGAGCAUUUCGUGGAUAGGUCUUGGACCGGGUAAAUCUACCCACGACUAUGUCGAGAACAAUAAGUAACUUAACUCGUACGUGGUGGUAAUUCCGUGCGUCACGCACAUUUUAAUAAAGAGCGCGUCAGCGGAUCUAUAUUAGUCGCAACAAUGUCAAUAAUAACUUCAUUUGUUUCUCCGGAAUGGCGACGGUGAAUAGUUUAAGGAACGCGAUCGCGUUCUAUUAAUACCGUCCCGAUUGGUUCCCCCGUGGAAAAGAUUAUUUCCGAGGUUUUGCGACCACCUGCGUACGAUAAUCUAUAGAGUGGUAUAGUAGAAAAAAAAAAACAUUUUAUUGACAAUAAAAUGUUUAUUGACGAUACAAUUGAAGUGUCGAACUUUGGCGUUGAGUACUCGUGCAUGCUAAUGUAUUUGGUGCGGAACUAAAUAAUUAUCUUACUUCCGUAUAAUUUUGCUCAUUCAGUUCGACGCUUCAGGAUUUUGUUGCCGGAUAUUUCUUCGACCUUUUUCUCGGCAUUAUUGAUUGGGGAAAAAAUUCUUAAUACCGUUGAAAUUAUUUUCAGACCUUUCUCGGGGUGACACCGUUGUCUGGAGGGUCGACAUGUGCGAAUAAUCUGCUAGUCAUAGAACGGUGGCUGUAAAAACUCGCACAUUGCGCCUCUCUUGCCAUCUGGAGCCGAGAGCGUUUGGGUCGUUACAGAAGAAGGAACUCGAAGAAAGUGACGAGGAUCCUUGGAAAUGGGAAAGGAGCCAGACGCGUCGAAGAGGUCCUCCCUUGAAGGAGCGCCUCCGGAUUAAUCAUCCUGCGAGGAGAUACGCGCUUCGAGCCGGCCAAUUUUCUUUCGGAGGAGUCGAGAAAGUCCCUCGAGAUCACCGAGGCGACCGGGGAAAUUCCGCGAAUUCAGGAAAUUCAGGAAACUCGGGAAACCACCCUUGGAUCUCUGAUAAGUGGAAACCUCGUGCCGUGAUAUUCAACAAAAAAAAUCGCGAUAACACGAGGGGCCACAAAUCAAGGGACGCUGGUGUACCUAUCAGCGCGGUGGAGGCAAAAAAUCUGACCGCUUAAACCGACGACCAGCGGUAAAGAUCAAAGGGAUUAAAAUCGAUGACCUCGAGCCAGAGUUUCUGCUUUUCGAGGGUCCCAGGAGAUACAACGCAGAGACGCGAGAAGGAUGUCUCUUUAAUACUUUGAAAGGUGAGGAAGCGCUAUUGUCGCCGACUUGGAAGACGUUGCAGACCACUUGACGUCCUUAACGAGUCUGUUAUGACACUGGAUCUUGAACCAAUAACGCACUCUAAGGGAAUGCAACGAGUCGUUAUGACAUUCUUACUGCAAGAUUGUCAAAUUGAACGCGAAUCGGUGCGCCUUCGAUGCAGACAUUGUCCUCGUUAAGCGCAAGGGCACGAAAAAACUGAGCGAUCGCGCAAGAGAUUCUAAGUCACCGGCGUCGAAAUUUCGCUGCUCCACCCUUGUCAAGAUUCGCCCUGUGAUGUCGUCUUUUCUGGCACCAGGUUCUCACAAAGCCAAAAGCCGACGUCUCUCGACGUCCACUCGACUCCGACGAGCGUUUCCCGCCGACUGACGCUCGGCGUCCCUUAACGGUGCCCUCUUCAAGAAGCGUCGCGACGCCCGAGCGCGCUGCACUCGCCUGCAGCUGCAGCGCAGGACGCGUGCUGAAUUUUCUCUGAUCCGUCCCCUCAAUCCAAAGUCUUUUAACAAUUUACCUGCAAUUUACUUCCUACAUUAAGUGCAAUUUUGCGCUAAAACUUUACAAAUAAGUACAUAGAUAUAGAUAUUGCAAGCAUGCUGAAAAGUGCAUUGAACGUCAGGAACCCAUAACAGGGCUUUACAAACGUAACCAACGAGGGCAAUUGUUAACAAUUCCCAGGCAUCGAUUUAAAAAGUGGCACUUUUAAAAGCCGCAAUCCAAAGUCUUUUAACAAUUCACCUGCAGUUUACUUCUGCACACAUCAAGUGUAAUUUUGCGCUAAAACUUAAAAAACUUGUAUAUAGAUAUUAUAAGCAUGCUCAAAAGUGCAUUGAACGCCAAAAACCCGUAAUCAGGGUUUACGAACGUAAUCGACGAGGGCAAUUGUUAACAUUUCCCAGGCAUUGUUCCGGCAUCGAUUUAAAAACCGUCACUUAUAAAAGCCUGUAUGCACCGCGUGUACUCUAUUCAAAAAGGUCGCAGUGCCCCGGUAACAUAUUUCUGCACCACUGAUGAACCAUGCCGGGUCAUUCGAAGUGACAAAGUGCAUGCAAUUUUGCCCUGCGAAUUAUUACCCCGUAAAUGCGGCGCAACGAGGAAAGCGGCUAUUCGCGGCGGAGAGGACUCCACGUAAAUUCGCGGCAGAUUGAAAAAUAAAGUAUGAUUUCGAAUUUUGUAUAAGAAAAAAAAACAGUCCUGGGGUUGUACUUUCCACCCUAUCGGGUUCUUCCCCCUUGGCUUGAAUUUUCAUCCCUUUAUCUCGUCCAGCCCUGCACCCCGGCGGAAGUCUGAACUAUUCAUGGAGGACUCUCCGCUCUUCCAAAGAACUAGAUCGAUAAUUCAUCGUUGCUUAAAGCGAUUUGCCGCACAUGCCGAACUCUCUCUUUCUUCUCGGCAGGGUGAAUUUUCAGCAUCCGAGGGAGAUAAUGUUACAGAUAAAGCACGUGCCAGCGAUCUUAAACCAGAUAUUGCCUGAUUGUCCUUUAAUUGGUGCAUUCAAGGCCUGCUGCGCAUAUAGAAUAUUUGUGUAAGACCGAACUCCAGAGUACGACUGA